Molecule: ribosomal RNA, 475 nt
Filed under: uncultured bacterium
Lineage: Bacteria
Description: bacterial SSU rRNA
Rfam family: Bacterial small subunit ribosomal RNA
Source: RNAcentral
GAUGAACGCUGGCGGCGUGCUUAACACAUGCAAGUCGAACGAAGCACUCUAUUUGAUUUUCUUCGGAAAUGAAGAUUUUGUGACUGAGUGGCGGACGGGUGAGUAACGCGUGGGUAACCUGCCUCAUACAGGGGGAUAACAGUUGGAAACGACUGCUAAUACCGCAUAAGCGCACAGGAUUGCAUGAUCCGGUGUGAAAAACUCCGGUGGUAUGAGAUGGACCCGCGUCUGAUUAGCCAGUUGGCAGGGUAACGGCCUACCAAAGCGACGAUCAGUAGCCGACCUGAGAGGGUGACCGGCCACAUUGGGACUGAGACACGGCCCAAACUCCUACGGGAGGCAGCAGUGGGGAAUAUUGCACAAUGGGGGAAACCCUGAUGCAGCGACGCCGCGUGAGCGAAGAAGUAUUUCGGUAUGUAAAGCUCUAUCAGCAGGGAAGAAGAAUGACGGUACCCGACUAAGAAGCACCGGCUAA